GGAGGAAAAGAAACCAACAGGGAUUGCCCCAGUAACGGCGAGUGAAGCGGCAAGAGCUCAAAUUUGAAAUCUGGCCCCUCCGGGGUCCGAGUUGUAAUUUGCAGAGGAUGCUUCGGGUACGGCCCCGGUCUAAGUCCCCUGGAACGGGGCGUCAUAGAGGGUGAGAAUCCCGUCUGGGAUCGUCGGCCGUGCCCGUGUGAAGCUCCUUCGACGAGUCGAGUUGUUUGGGAAUGCAGCUCUAAAUGGGUGGUAAAUUUCAUCUAAAGCUAAAUACUGGCCGGAGACCGAUAGCGCACAAGUAGAGUGAUCGAAAGAUGAAAAGCACUUUGAAAAGAGAGUUAAACAGCACGUGAAAUUGUUGAAAGGGAAGCGCUUGCGACCAGACUCGCCCGCGGGGUUCAGCCGGGAUUCGUCCCGGUGUACUUCCCCGCGGUCGGGCCAGCGUCGGUUUGGGCGGCCGGUCAAAGGCCCCGGGAAUGUAUCGCCCUCCGGGGCGUCUUAUAGCCCGGGGUGCAAUGCGGCCUGCCCGGACCGAGGAACGCGCUCCGGCACGGACGCUGGCGUAAUGGUCGUAAGCGGCCCGUCUUGAA
This 590-nucleotide ribosomal RNA is filed under the name Eurotiales sp. Its description in RNAcentral is "partial large subunit ribosomal RNA". It matches the Rfam family "Eukaryotic large subunit ribosomal RNA", at positions 52 to 658 of the family's 3401-position model. The record is from RNAcentral. Lineage: Eukaryota; Fungi; Ascomycota; Eurotiomycetes; Eurotiales.